This 556-nucleotide ribosomal RNA is filed under the name Candida tropicalis. RNAcentral describes it as "partial large subunit ribosomal RNA". It matches the Rfam family "Eukaryotic large subunit ribosomal RNA", at positions 75 to 648 of the family's 3401-position model. The record is from RNAcentral. Lineage: Eukaryota; Fungi; Ascomycota; Pichiomycetes; Serinales; Debaryomycetaceae.
UUGCCUUAGUAGCGGCGAGUGAGCGGCAAAAGCUCAAAUUUGAAAUCUGGCUCUUUCAGAGUCCGAGUUGUAAUUUGAAGAAGGUAUCUUUGGGUCUGGCUCUUGUCUAUGUUUCUUGGAACAGAACGUCACAGAGGGUGAGAAUCCCGUGCGAUGAGAUGAUCCAGGCCUAUGUAAAGUUCCUUCGAAGAGUCGAGUUGUUUGGGAAUGCAGCUCUAAGUGGGUGGUAAAUUCCAUCUAAAGCUAAAUAUUGGCGAGAGACCGAUAGCGAACAAGUACAGUGAUGGAAAGAUGAAAAGAACUUUGAAAAGAGAGUGAAAAAGUACGUGAAAUUGUUGAAAGGGAAGGGCUUGAGAUCAGACUUGGUAUUUUGUAUGUUACUUCUUCGGGGGUGGCCUCUACAGUUUAUCGGGCCAGCAUCAGUUUGGGCGGUAGGAGAAUUGCGUUGGAAUGUGGCACGGCUUCGGUUGUGUGUUAUAGCCUUCGUCGAUACUGCCAGCCUAGACUGAGGACUGCGGUUUAUACCUAGGAUGUUGGCAUAAUGAUCUUAAGUCGC